Molecule: ribosomal RNA, 254 nt
Filed under: uncultured bacterium
Lineage: Bacteria
Description: partial 16S ribosomal RNA
Rfam family: Bacterial small subunit ribosomal RNA
Source: RNAcentral
UACGUAGGGUGCGAGCGUUAAUCGGAAUUACUGGGCGUAAAGCGUGCGCAGGCGGUUUUGUAAGCCAGAUGUGAAAUCCCCGGGCUUAACCUGGGAAUGGCAUUUGGGACUGCAAGGCUUGAGUGCGGCAGAGGAGACUGGAAUUCCUGGUGUAGCAGUGAAAUGCGUAGAUAUCAGGAGGAAUACCGAUGGCGAAGGCAGGUCUCUGGGCUGACACUGACGCUCAUGCACGAAAGCGUGGGGAGCAAACAGGA